This 472-nucleotide ribosomal RNA is filed under the name uncultured bacterium. RNAcentral describes it as "bacterial SSU rRNA". It matches the Rfam family "Bacterial small subunit ribosomal RNA", at positions 355 to 825 of the family's 1533-position model. The record is from RNAcentral.
UGGGGAAUAUUGGACAAUGGGCGAAAGCCUGAUCCAGCCAUGCCGCGUGUGUGAAGAAGGUCUUCGGAUUGUAAAGCACUUUAAGUUGGGAGGAAGGGUUGUAGAUUAAUACUCUGCAAUUUUGACGUUACCGACAGAAUAAGCACCGGCUAACUCUGUGCCAGCAGCCGCGGUAAUACAGAGGGUGCAAGCGUUAAUCGGAAUUACUGGGCGUAAAGCGCGCGUAGGUGGUUUGUUAAGUUGGAUGUGAAAUCCCCGGGCUCAACCUGGGAACUGCAUUCAAAACUGACAAGCUAGAGUAUGGUAGAGGGUGGUGGAAUUUCCUGUGUAGCGGUGAAAUGCGUAGAUAUAGGAAGGAACACCAGUGGCGAAGGCGACCACCUGGACUGAUACUGACGCUGAGGCACGAAAGCGUGGGGAGCAAACCGGAUUAGAUACCCAAGUAGUCCCUGAGCGGGCUGGCAAGGCGCAU